RNAcentral lists this ribosomal RNA (420 nucleotides) under uncultured bacterium. RNAcentral describes it as "bacterial SSU rRNA". It matches the Rfam family "Bacterial small subunit ribosomal RNA", at positions 354 to 787 of the family's 1533-position model. The record is from RNAcentral.
UGGGGGGAUAUUGCACAAUGGGGGGAACCCUGAUGCAGCAACGCCGCGUGAGGGAAGAAGGUUUUCGGAUUGUAAACCUCUGUCCAAAGGGAAGAAAAAGGAUGACGGUACCUUUGGAGGAAGCUCCGGCUAACUACGUGCCAGCAGCCGCGGUAAUACGUAGGGAGCGAGCGUUGUCCGGAAUUACUGGGUGUAAAGGGUGCGUAGGCGGCCCGGCAAGUCAGUCGUGAAAUACAUGGGCUUAACCCAUGGACUGCGAUUGAAACUGCAGGGCUUGAGUGAAGUAGAGGCAGGCGGAAUUCCCGGUGUAGCGGUGAAAUGCGUAGAGAUCGGGAGGAACACCAGUGGCGAAGGCGGCCUGCUGGGCUUUAACUGACGCUGAGGCACGAAAGCAUGGGUAGCAAACAGGAUUAGAUACCC